RNAcentral lists this long non-coding RNA (366 nucleotides) under Mytilus galloprovincialis (Mediterranean mussel). The record is from RNAcentral. Lineage: Eukaryota; Metazoa; Mollusca; Bivalvia; Mytilida; Mytilidae.
CAAUUAUUCAAUUUUUGAUGAAAUCAAACAAAGUUCAAUUUUGGACCCUUUGGGCCCCUUAUUCCUAAACUGUUGGGACCAAAACUCCCAAAAUCAAUCCCAACCUUCCUUUUGUGGUCAUAAACCUUGUGUCAAAAUUUCAUAGAUUUCAAUUUACUUAAACAAGUUAUAGUGCGAAAACCAAGAAAAUGCUUAUUUGGGCCCUUUUUGGCCCUUAAUUCCUAAAAUGUUGGGACCAAAACUCUUAAAAUCAAUCCCAACCUUCCUUUUGUGGUCAUAAACCUUGAAGAAAAAUUGUUAAAAAUUGACUAUAAAAUGCAUUAACUCGUUAAAAGGGGUCAACUGACCAUUUUGAUCAUAACUUAU